Molecule: ribosomal RNA, 460 nt
Filed under: uncultured bacterium
Lineage: Bacteria
Description: partial 16S ribosomal RNA
Rfam family: Bacterial small subunit ribosomal RNA
Source: RNAcentral
CCUACGGGUGGCAGCAGUGAGGAAUAUUGGUCAAUGGACGAGAGUCUGAACCAGCCAAGUAGCGUGAAGGAUGACUGCCCUAUGGGUUGUAAACUUCUUUUAUAUGGGAAUAAAAUGUUCCACGUGUUGGAGUUUGUAUGUACCAUAUGAAUAAGGAUCGGCUAACUCCGUGCCAGCAGCCGCGGUAAUACGGAGGAUCCGAGCGUUAUCCGGAUUUAUUGGGUGUAAAGGGAGCGUAGGUGGAUUGUUAAGUCAUUUGUGAAAGUUUGCGGCUCAACCGUAAAAUUACAGUUGAAACUGGCAGUCUUGAGUACAGUAGAGGUGGGCGGAAUUCGUGGUGUAGCGGUGAAAUGCUUAGAUAUCACGAAGAACUCCGAUUGCGAAGGCAGCUCACUGGACUGCAACUGACACUGAGGCUCGAAAGUGUGGGUAUCAAACAGGAUUAGAUACCCCUGUAGUC